GGCCCAAACUCCUACGGGAGGCAGCAGUAGGGAAUUUUCGGCANUGGAGGAAACUCUGACCGAGCAACGCCGCGUGAACGAUGAAGUAUUUCGGUACGUAAAGUUCUUUUAUUAGGGAAGAAUAAAUGAUGGAAAAAUCAUUCUGACGGUACCUAAUGAAUAAGCCCCGGCUAACUAUGUGCCAGCAGCCGCGGUAAUACAUAGGGGGCAAGCGUUAUCCGGAAUUAUUGGGCGUAAAGGGUGCGUAGGCGGUUAAAUAAGUUUAUGGUCUAAGUGCAAUGCUCAACAUUGUGAUGCUAUAAAAACUGUUUAGCUAGAGUAAGAUAGAGGCAAGUGGAAUUNCAUGUGUAGUGGUAAAAUGCGUAAAUAUAUGGAGGAACACCAGUAGCGAAGGCGGCUUGCUGGGUCUUUACUGACGCUGAGGCACGAAAGCGUGGGGAGCAAACAGGAUUANAUACCCUGGUAGUCCACGCCGUAAACGAUGANUACUAAACGUUGGGUAAAACCAGUGUUGAAGUUAACACAUUAAGUACUCCGCCUGANUAGUACGUACGCAAGU
RNAcentral lists this ribosomal RNA (559 nucleotides) under 'Pistacia vera' witches'-broom phytoplasma. Its description in RNAcentral is "bacterial SSU rRNA". It matches the Rfam family "Bacterial small subunit ribosomal RNA", at positions 328 to 893 of the family's 1533-position model. The record is from RNAcentral. Lineage: Bacteria; Bacillati; Mycoplasmatota; Mollicutes; Acholeplasmatales; Acholeplasmataceae.